RNAcentral lists this small RNA (81 nucleotides) under Anaerosphaera aminiphila DSM 21120. RNAcentral describes it as "Streptococcus sRNA SpF39". It matches the Rfam family "Streptococcus sRNA SpF39". Lineage: Bacteria; Bacillati; Bacillota; Tissierellia; Tissierellales; Peptoniphilaceae. The record is from Rfam by way of RNAcentral.
AAAUGCACAAAGAAUGGUUUUAGUAAAAAUUUAAUAUGUAAAUUUUAGACGAUAGAAAGUAAUAAUUCUGUCGUCUUUUUU